GGGGCAGGCUCCGAACUGAAAGGGAAAGAAACCCUGAGCUCAGUGCAUCUGGAGAGGGGUGAUCACCCUCAGGGUGCCACAAGUCACGGACUCCUGCCAAUCCCGGGAGAGCAAGAGCAGGAGGAGGCACCGGAGAGCGAGUAGAGCUGUGGUGGCCGUCUCCUGGGAGUUUCCCAGGAGCAGGCUGGUGCAGGGAACCUUGGGAGUCGCAGCAGAAACGUGCCACCUUAGUCUCAAGAAUCCUUUGCAGCUUCUUGGGAGUGGGCGGCAGGCACUUUGCCCCCGAAGCCUGACAAGAGAGGAAUGUGAUAGGCAGUUCUGGAGGUCACCAUCUUGGGUGUAGCUGGGAACACACACCAGCGGUUGCCCAAAUCCAAAACCAGCACCGUACGGUUGCUUGCCUCGUGGCCACGCACAUCCUUUGGUUCCUGCAAUUGAGAUUACUGCACCGAGUAGGUCAAGACGCUGACAAGCCAAUCAUUUCCCCUCUACAUGGUCUGGCACGGUCU
Ictidomys tridecemlineatus (thirteen-lined ground squirrel) is the source of this 509-nucleotide non-coding RNA. The record is from RefSeq and is a predicted model, not a curated record. NCBI's taxonomy places the organism in Eukaryota, Metazoa, Chordata, Mammalia, Rodentia, Sciuridae.